UGGGGAAUUUUGGACAAUGGGCGCAAGCCUGAUCCAGCCAUUCCGCGUGCAGGAUGAAGGCCCUCGGGUUGUAAACUGCUUUUGUACGGAACGAAACGUCUCGGGUUAAUACCCUGGGGUAAUGACGGUACCGUAAGAAUAAGCACCGGCUAACUACGUGCCAGCAGCCGCGGUAAUACGUAGGGUGCAAGCGUUAAUCGGAAUUACUGGGCGUAAAGCGUGCGCAGGCGGUUGUGUAAGACAGGUGUGAAAUCCCCGGGCUUAACCUGGGAACUGCACUUGUGACUGCACGGCUGGAGUGCGGCAGAGGGGGAUGGAAUUCCGCGUGUAGCAGUGAAAUGCGUAGAUAUGCGGAGGAACACCGAUGGCGAAGGCAAUCCCCUGGGCCUGCACUGACGCUCAUGCACGAAAGCGUGGGGAGCAAACAGG
This 429-nucleotide ribosomal RNA is filed under the name uncultured bacterium. RNAcentral's name for it is "bacterial SSU rRNA". It matches the Rfam family "Bacterial small subunit ribosomal RNA", at positions 355 to 776 of the family's 1533-position model. The record is from RNAcentral.